RNAcentral lists this long non-coding RNA (1414 nucleotides) under Mytilus galloprovincialis (Mediterranean mussel). The record is from RNAcentral. Lineage: Eukaryota; Metazoa; Mollusca; Bivalvia; Mytilida; Mytilidae.
GUUCGAUUCUUUUUUUCAUAUUAUUAUGGCACCCUCAACGGAGUUGGGGUGACAUAUUGUUAUUGUUCGUUUCUUUUUUUUCUUUUUUUUUAUUAUUAUUUUUCUUCCACUAUUUUUGUCCGGAGAAGUUCUUGGAGUAGAAUGAACCAAAGUUGAUGGAACUAUGGUAUAAUGUUGACCAACAUGUGAAGUUGUCCCUCUGACUUUGGAAUGGUCAAGAUGGCUGCCGUUUCCAUGGAAACGGGUAAAAUGUGAAAAUUUUCAAAAUUUUCAAAAUGCUCCAAUCUUUUUAAAACUUUACAAAAAUGGUAAAUGGCAUGUGCUAAUGUGCUCUUUGAAUUUGGAAUUUCAAAAAUGGCUGUCGUUGUCCUGGCAAUUGGGGAAGGGUGCCAUCCGUUAUUGCUGGCAAUUACAAAUCUAGUUAUGGCACCCUCAACGGAGUUGGGGUGACAUAUUGUUAUUCUACGUUUCUUUUUUUCUUUUUUUUAUUAUUAUUUUUCUUCCACUAUUUUUGUCCGGAGCAGUUCUUGGAAAAGAAUGGACCAAAUUUGAUGGAACUAUGGUAUAAUGUUGACCACCAUGUGAAGUUGUCCCUCUGACUUUGGAAUGGUCAAGAUGGCUGCCGUUGCCAUGGAAACGGGUAAAAUGUGAAAAAUUUCAAAAUUUUCAAAAUGCUCCAAUCUUUCUAAAACUUUACAAAAAUGGUAAAUGGCAUGUGCUGAUGUGCUCUUUGACUUUGGAAUUUCAAAAAUGGCUGCUGUUGUCCUGGCAAUUGGGGAAGGGUGCCAUCCGUUAUUGCUGGCAAUUACAAAUCUAGUCAUUAUUAUAUUUAUUCUUCCACACUUUUUUGUCCAUACUAUUUCUCCGAAUUGGCUUGAACAAUAUUGAUGGAACUAUACCAUAAUGUUGACCACCACAUUAAAUAGUGCAGUGAGGUAUGGCAUCAUCAAGAUGGCUGCCGUUGUCAUGGAAACGAAACAAAUGUUAAAAAUUUCUGUUUUUUGUUUUGGUGAACUGUUUGAAUAUGCUUAAACUCAGAAUCAUCAUAUUUUAAUACAAUGUAGGUGCCCACUAUAUACAGGUGUUGGAUGAUUUUGGCACUCAUCGGACCUACUAUGUUGCCAUGGAAACUAAACCAAAAAUUUCAAAAAUAUCAAAAUGCUCCAAACUUCAUGAAACUUUACAGUAACGAUGAGCAACAUUGGAAGAUGUUGAAUUUGGCGUUGGAAUUUCCAAAAUAUCUGUAGUUACCAUGGAAACAAUGCAAAAAGGUCAAAACUUUGAAUUUUUACAGAACAUUCCAGAACAUCAAUGUUAAAUGUAUUCUAGAGACAUUAAAUGGUAUAUAUGAUUAUGGAGGGAAAAAAUUGCAGCGGGGGUUUGACUUUGGAAUAUUCAAAAUGGCCGCCGUUAC